This 180-nucleotide long non-coding RNA is filed under the name Fukomys damarensis (Damara mole-rat). RNAcentral describes it as "lncRNA (ENSFDAG00000028273.1)". The record is from RNAcentral. Lineage: Eukaryota; Metazoa; Chordata; Mammalia; Rodentia; Bathyergidae.
GAUGUCUGUCGGUGGCCUAGGCCACAGGGGUUGUGAUGCUGCACUGCAAACGUGGAUGCGGACCCAGUGCCCUUCGACUUUGUGAUAUGGAGCGGACAAAUCCCCUGCAGAGUCUCCAGGUUAAUGCACCAGUAAGAGCAAGUGUGGGUGAGGAUACCAGAGGCAUCUCCCGGUCAAGGC